UUGUGGGACUCCUAACAGCAGGAGCAGGAUUUGCCUCUGAUUCUGUUGCCUGCCUUUUGGAUCCUUUCC
RNAcentral lists this microRNA precursor (69 nucleotides) under Mus caroli (Ryukyu mouse). Its description in RNAcentral is "miRNA (MGP_CAROLIEiJ_G0008164.1)". Lineage: Eukaryota; Metazoa; Chordata; Mammalia; Rodentia; Muridae. The record is from RNAcentral.